UCGAAAUUAUAUAUAAAUAUUUAACUUAUUAUUAUAUUAAUGAAUAACAAUUUUUAAUGAAUUAAUUUUGGCCCUUGAUGGAUUUCAAUCCAAAGGCCAGAAAUUAAUGUUUUGUUAAUAUUUGUCUCUUUUUCUCAUUGGUCAAUCUCUCAAACACAAAGAUAGCUAUCUUAACCAUCGAUUAAUUUUGAUCCUAUAGCUAGCAAUCACAGAUCUCACAUCUCUUUCUCUUCUUCUUUCACGAUAUCUCUCUCUCUUUUUUCUUGGUUUCAGAUCUAAAACUAAUCUCUUCUAAUUCUUCUUUAAUCCUUUGAAUCUCUAUCUUCUUCAAUCAUCACCACAAAUACACGACUUCCCCACCGUCCCAGCAUCACAACCACCACCACAUGGCCUCCAUUUGUUCUCUGUCCCAACACCACCACCACCACCACACAUGACCUCCGUUCGUUCGCCGUCCCAGCAUCACCACCACCACCACACCUCCAUGGAAUAGAGGAGACAAGGCGAAGAAGCUAUUGUGUGGAGAUGUCAGAGGAAGCUCGUGGUGGAGGAGGUGGAGGUGGAUCCGGGAAAGAAGAAGAGAGACAGAGACGCGAGGAGGAGGCGAAGAAGAAUGGAGGAGGAAGACGACGGGAUGUACAGGGCGGCGAGAUGGUGGAGCGGCGGCUACAUAGGUUUAGUUAGUUAUCAAUUAGGUUUAAACUUGGUUUAGGUUUAAGCAUGGUUUAAGUUAUUGGUUUAUUUGGUUUAGUCUUUUUUCAUUUAAUUAGAUUUUUUAUAUUUUUGUAAACCAAUUUAAUUAUAAAUUAUUUUAUAUAAUAAAAAUUAAAUAUAUAAACGAGUUUAAAUUUUAA
Raphanus sativus (radish) is the source of this 854-nucleotide long non-coding RNA. RefSeq lists it as uncharacterized. The transcript has 2 exons. Lineage: Eukaryota; Viridiplantae; Streptophyta; Magnoliopsida; Brassicales; Brassicaceae. The record is from RefSeq and is a predicted model, not a curated record.